AAAAUAAGCUGUGGUGUCUGUUCAUGGCAUGUCUGAUAGGAUCUCACCACAAGCAUCCGACUGUUUUGGUCUCAAGAUGGAAUUAUGGAACUGAUUGUACAAAUGGGGGAAAUCUUUCAUCCCUUCUUCUGCUAGCAAGUGAGAAGUAAUAAAUGAUCUACUAAGAAAGAGAAUGGUUAAGGAAGAGGGAGUCAUGGCUUUCAUAUCUGGUCUCUUGGACAGAUGUUCAUGUUAGUGCCUUUGUGAGCAUCCCAGCUCUUCCGAUCUUCUGGGAAAGUCUUACAGAACUUAAUAGUAAAAGGUAAUUUAUUAUUUAUUUACGUAUUUAUUGUUUAAUGAUCUUGAAAGAAUGGAAUAGAAAAUUAUGUCCUUGCACUAGAACUCUAUAGGACGGUGUAGCUGGCAGAGACGUGCAGUAGACUGCACACACUUAGCUGUAGCACUCUGGAGGUGGGCAGGGGCUGCAGCCCAGCUGCAGGCAGUUGGGAGUGAUUAUAGGCUGCCUAGGGGAACUGGGACAGCUGAUCCAGAUAAUUGGCUGGCCACAGGAAAUUAAAAGGCUCCCAGGGAUAGGAGCAGCAGUAGUCAGGUUAGUGGUGGUAGAACUAGGCCUGGCUGCUUAUCAGGGUCUGGAAGGAGACCCAAAGCUGUGAGGUUGGAAACAGCUGCACAACCACAGGGUGGGGUCAGAGCCAGGCAGAGAAGGAAGACUGCAGUGCAGAGGAAGCAGCAGUGAGCUGGAUGCACAUUCUCAGGGUUAGAGGAGACUCAGGACUGUGAAUUCACCCUGUGUGAAGUAUAUUAAAUUAUGCUAUUAAGUGUUGAUUUAUGUUUGUGAUGGUUCCUGAGAGGUAAUAAAAUAGUGUGA
Molecule: long non-coding RNA, 868 nt
Filed under: Crocodylus porosus (Australian saltwater crocodile)
Lineage: Eukaryota; Metazoa; Chordata; Crocodylia; Crocodylidae
Description: lncRNA (ENSCPRG00005014232.1)
Source: RNAcentral